RNAcentral lists this small RNA (78 nucleotides) under Chimaeribacter arupi. RNAcentral describes it as "Yersiniaceae bacterium 2016Iso3 partial RtT sRNA". It matches the Rfam family "RtT RNA", at positions 52 to 130 of the family's 130-position model. From Rfam's summary of the family: This family represents a bacterial cis-regulatory element known as RtT RNA. The exact function of RtT is unknown although it is thought that it may be involved in changing the cellular response in relation to amino acid starvation. The record is from RNAcentral. Lineage: Bacteria; Pseudomonadati; Pseudomonadota; Gammaproteobacteria; Enterobacterales; Yersiniaceae.
GCGAACGCGAGCAACGUUGCGCAGCAACGGCCCGAAGGGUGAGGAACGAAGUGACGAAUCAUCCUUCCCCCACCACCA